UACGGGGGGGGCAAGCGUUGUUCGGAAUUACUGGGCGUAAAGGGCUCGUAGGCGGCCAACUAAGUCAGACGUGAAAUCCCUCGGCUUAACCGGGGAACUGCGUCUGAUACUGGGUGGCUAGAGUUCGGGAGAGGAGAGUGGAAUUCCCAGUGUAGAGGUGAAAUUCGUAGAUAUUGGGAAGAACACCGGUGGCGAAGGCGGCUCUCUGGACCGAGACUGACGCUGAGGCGCGAAAGCGUGGGGAGCAAACAGG
RNAcentral lists this ribosomal RNA (253 nucleotides) under uncultured bacterium. RNAcentral describes it as "partial 16S ribosomal RNA". It matches the Rfam family "Bacterial small subunit ribosomal RNA", at positions 524 to 776 of the family's 1533-position model. The record is from RNAcentral.